Molecule: long non-coding RNA, 830 nt
Organism: Gossypium raimondii (Peruvian cotton)
Lineage: Eukaryota; Viridiplantae; Streptophyta; Magnoliopsida; Malvales; Malvaceae
Exons: 2
Source: RefSeq, a predicted model, not a curated record
GGAAAAAGAGAGGAAAAAAGGAAAGAAGAAAGAAAGAAGAAAUGGAAAGAAAAAAAAUAAAAAUUACAACAGCUGGGCCAACCCGACCCGACGACCCGGGUCUGACCCGAAUAGUAGACCUGACCCGUGCUGCCAGCAGGCCACACCACCAGCAACAGCAGGCCUGCUCCAAGAAAAAAACCAAAAAAGAAACAGCAAAAAAACAAUAGGCCAGCAACUAGAAAAACAAAGCAGGCCCAAACCAAGCCCAGUGCAGCCCAAUCCAGCAGCAGAUUCAACCCAACAAGAAGCUGGCCACCCCAAGCCAGCACCAGCAGCCCAGGCCCGCGCGCCAGCCCAGCAGAGAGGAAAAAAGAAAAAAGAAAGAAAGAAGAAAAAAAAGAGAAAAAAACAGAAGAAAAAAAGAAAAAAGAAAAAAACAAGAAAAAAGGGGUUCAAUUUUGUGUUACCCGUUCGGUGAAGCUCGUGUCUCGAGAUUUUUCGACAUCUCAUUAUGAAGGUAUUGGUUAAAGAUUGGUUGCCAAAAACGGGUUUCUGAUGGAGAAGUCAAUUACACAAGUAACCGAGAAAAAUGCCGUAGUCCGAGACUGGUCUUUGAGGACCCAAAAAGCAAAAGGGGAUAGUUUAAAAGAAAGAUAUAUCUCCGAUCUUCCUGAGCAUAUGACUUCGAACGCUUUACAGAAUAACUUCGAAGACUUGACUAGGAUCUGGAAACAAUGAGACUCAAACACUAUGAGCAUCUUCAUCGACAAAAUAUUUUGUAAUCGACUCUUUUGAUAAUUGAAACGCCAAAAUAUGGGGCUAUCUUGAAAUCAACACCAUUUUUUGCA